This 101-nucleotide ribosomal RNA is filed under the name Diastema scabrum. RNAcentral's name for it is "partial 28S ribosomal RNA". It matches the Rfam family "Eukaryotic large subunit ribosomal RNA", at positions 1 to 98 of the family's 3401-position model. The record is from RNAcentral. Lineage: Eukaryota; Viridiplantae; Streptophyta; Magnoliopsida; Lamiales; Gesneriaceae.
CCGCGACCCCAGGUCAGGCGGGAUCACCCGCUGAGUUUAAGCAUAUCAAUAAGCGGAGGAAAAGAAACUUACCAGGAUUCCCCUAGUAACGGCGAGCGAAC